This 1355-nucleotide long non-coding RNA is filed under the name Marmota monax (woodchuck). The record is from RNAcentral. Lineage: Eukaryota; Metazoa; Chordata; Mammalia; Rodentia; Sciuridae.
GAAACCGAGGCCUAGGGAGUGUGGAGCUAGGAAGGGUGGAGCCGAGGAAGCUGCCUCCCUUGGACUCUGUCCUAGGAUCGUCGGCCUUGUGUCCACUUCCUCUCCUAGGCUCUGAGCUCCCUGGGGACAGAAGCUGUGUCUGCUCAUCGCAGCACCUGGCAGAGUACCCUCACGAGACCAUGACCACUGACGGCUCGUUCUGGGACCCAGACUCCUCUGCGGCUGGCCACCACAUCCCAGCAAGACGUUGGCCUUCCUGAUCUCUCGGCCGGCGAUUCAGGGAACUCUGCUCAGCCUCCAGGUUGUUGAGGCAAGUGAAGGCUGGGCCUGGGCCUGGGGCUCCUGGAUCUCCUCCCCAGACAGAGGGGGCGGUCCCUGGCAGCGGGACACAGCCCUCACCUGCCAGCAGGGCCGUGGGCUGCUCUGCCCGCCAAGAGACUGCACUGCUCCCAGCUGCCAGUGGAGACAGAGCCCAGGAGGCCUGGUCAGCGUUUGCCUGGGGGCUGGGAAAUGUGCUGGCUCCAGCCUGGCUCCCUCUGAGAAAGCAGGGAGCCUGACCAGCAGCCCAGAAUUUGCCUCUGUAGUGUCUGGGACUGCAUGCAAAGCAGCCUGCUGACAGAGCUCUCCCCUUCCCCUCCGGUGCGUGUUAACCCACCCCUGCCAGGGGAAGCACUGGAGGGUUUGCUCUGUGCAGUCUGUAGGCACUGGAUGUCACAGAGAAACAGACAUGUCUGGCUUCAGCCUUUGUCCCUUCAGGUACAUUGGGAGGAGCCCCUGCUCAGAAUACGGGCACACUUGGUUUGGAUUUCAGGCUCUGCCACUGAACAGCUGUGUGGGCUUAAACAAGUCACUUAAGUUCUCUGAGCUGCAUCCUUAUUUGCUGAACGAGGACAUUCACAGAAAACAUAACAGGGAUGCUAUAAGGAUAGCCACACCUUGUAAUUUUUUGUUUUCCUUAUUAACAUGUAUUAAUUAUACAUAUAAUGGGUUUUAUUAUAUUUCAGCACAUACAUAUGGUGUAUACUGAUCAAAUCCAGCCCUCCCUGAUUCCUCCUUCCUACCACUCACCUUCCCAGCCUCCAGGAAUCAUCUUUUACAUUCAGGUUCACUAUUUUUAAGCUUCCACACAUGAAAGGGGACACGCAGCUUUUGUCUCUUUCUGUGUCCGGCUUAUUUCACUUAACACAAUGUCCUCUAUUUCCGACUGUUUGUUUGCAGCAAAUGACAACAUUUUGUUCUUCUUCAUAGCUGAAUACUACUCUGUUGUGUAUAUACACAAUUUAUUUAUCCAUUCAUCCAUUUAUAGGCUCCUCAGUUGAUUCCAUGUCUCAGCCAUUGUGUACAGUGCCUCAAUA